This 496-nucleotide ribosomal RNA is filed under the name uncultured bacterium. Its description in RNAcentral is "partial 16S ribosomal RNA". It matches the Rfam family "Bacterial small subunit ribosomal RNA", at positions 29 to 507 of the family's 1533-position model. The record is from RNAcentral.
AUGCACGCUGGCGGCGUGCCUAAUACCUGCAAGUCGAGCGCACAGACGAGGAGCUUGCUCCUCUGACGUUAGCGGCGGACGGGUGAGUAACACGUGGAUAACCUACCUAUAAGACUGGGAUAACUUCGGGAAACCGGAGCUAAUACCGGAUAAUAUAUUGAACCGCAUGGUUCAAUAGUGAAAGACGGUUUUGCUGUCACUUAUAGAUGGAUCCGCGCCGCAUUAGCUAGUUGGUAAGGUAACGGCUUACCAAGGCGACGAUGCGUAGCCGACCUGAGAGGGUGAUCGGCCACACUGGAACUGAGACACGGUCCAGACUCCUACGGGAGGCAGCAGUAGGGAAUCUUCCGCAAUGGGCGAAAGCUUGACGGAGCAACGCCGCGUGAGUGAUGAAGGUCUUCGGAUCGUAAAACUCUGUUAUUAGGGAAGAACAAAUGUGUAAGUAACUAUGCACGUCUUGACGGUACCUAAUCAGAAAGCCACGGCUAACUACGUG